GGGAUAAUAACUCAGCUGGGAGAGUGUACGACUGAAGAACAACUUCAGUUUCUGCUAUCGUAAAGUCGCCGGUUCGAUCCCGGCUUGUCCCA
This is a transfer RNA of Penicillium brasilianum, 92 nucleotides long. It matches the Rfam family "tRNA". Rfam says of the family: Transfer RNA (tRNA) molecules are approximately 80 nucleotides in length. Their secondary structure includes four short double-helical elements and three loops (D, anti-codon, and T loops). Further hydrogen bonds mediate the characteristic L-shaped molecular structure. tRNAs have two regions of fundamental functional importance: the anti-codon, which is responsible for specific mRNA codon recognition, and the 3' end, to which the tRNAs corresponding amino acid is attached (by aminoacyl-tRNA synthetases). tRNAs cope with the degeneracy of the genetic code in two manners: having more than one tRNA (with a specific anti-codon) for a particular amino acid; and 'wobble' base-pairing, i.e. permitting non-standard base-pairing at the 3rd anti-codon position. The record is from Rfam. NCBI's taxonomy places the organism in Eukaryota, Fungi, Ascomycota, Eurotiomycetes, Eurotiales, Aspergillaceae.